CCUCAUAGGAAUUCUGGUGCUUGUUCAAAAACUAAAUAUGUUUCUACUGUUUUGUUUGUUUGUUUGUUUGUUUGUUUAGGGACUAUCAAUGGCAGUACCUCUUUUGGAAUCGACCAAAGAAAGGACAAAAUUCUGGGUUAGUUUUCAGAGUUAGCAGUAGCAGCAGUCUUCUGGGAAGCCACUUCUACAUUUUCGUGACUAACAUAUCUGCCGUGACUUUUGUGACUAACAAUAUCUGACAAUACAGAAAAUGACUACAGACCACAGAAUUAUGUCCCUGGGACUCAGACACAGUACAACCCAACCCAACAUCUCCCAAUGGUGGUUGUCACUUCCAUGCUGUCAUAGAGAAGAGAAAGUAUGAGGAAUGAGGAGACUGAAUGGGAAGUCUCUGGUCUUCAUUAAUUAUAGGAAUAACAACGAGAUGAGUGGCAGACACAAAGCUAAUUCAAUGAAUAUCAUGAUCAACAUUAAGAUACGUUUUGGUAUAAAGCAAUAUAAAUAAAGGAAUUAUAGCUACUUGCAUCAACACACAUAAACCUACUGAAGAUAAUAUUCAUCAUUAAAAGGAAAUUGCAGAAGUUUGUACACAGUAUGAUUCUUUUUAUAUAAAGUUCAAAGUAUACAGUGUGUGGGUUUGUGUGUGUGUGUGUGUGUG
Molecule: non-coding RNA, 658 nt
Organism: Vicugna pacos (alpaca)
Lineage: Eukaryota; Metazoa; Chordata; Mammalia; Artiodactyla; Camelidae
Source: RefSeq, a predicted model, not a curated record